UACGAAGGGUGCAAGCGUUAUUCGGAAUCAUUGGGCGUAAAGCGCGCGCAGGCGGAUUGAUAAGUCAGGUGUGAAAUCUCGAGGCUCAACCUCGAAACUGCGCCUGAAACUAUUAGUCUAGAAUUUCGGAGGGGGUAGGGGAAUUUCACGUGUAGGGGUAAAAUCCGUAGAGAUGUGAAGGAACACCGGGGGCGAAGGCGCCUACCUAGACGAAUAUUGACGCUGAGGCGCGAAAGCGUGGGGAGCAAACAGG
Molecule: ribosomal RNA, 253 nt
Filed under: uncultured bacterium
Lineage: Bacteria
Description: partial 16S ribosomal RNA
Rfam family: Bacterial small subunit ribosomal RNA
Source: RNAcentral